UACGAAGGGGGCUAGCGUUGCUCGGAAUGACUGGGCGUAAAGGGCGCGUAGGCGGCUUGUAUAGUCGGAUGUGAAAUUCCUGGGCUUAACCUGGGGGGCUGCAUACGAGACGUAUGGGCUUGAGUGCGGAAGAGGGUCGUGGAAUUCCCAGUGUAGAGGUGAAAUUCGUAGAUAUUGGGAAGAACACCAAUGGCGAAAGCACUCUGCUGGGCCGACACUGACACUGAGAGACGAAAGCUAGGGGAGCAAAUGGG
This 254-nucleotide ribosomal RNA is filed under the name uncultured bacterium. Its description in RNAcentral is "partial 16S ribosomal RNA". It matches the Rfam family "Bacterial small subunit ribosomal RNA", at positions 524 to 776 of the family's 1533-position model. The record is from RNAcentral.